This 608-nucleotide long non-coding RNA is filed under the name Macaca fascicularis (crab-eating macaque). Its description in RNAcentral is "lncRNA (ENSMFAG00000065251.1)". Lineage: Eukaryota; Metazoa; Chordata; Mammalia; Primates; Cercopithecidae. The record is from RNAcentral.
GCUCAGGAACCACUUACAAGCUCUAGCAGUUGGUGUUCCAGCAUCCCACAGGGAGGAAGGUUAUGCUGGUGAUCCACGUGGCCGAUCUGGGCUAUGGCUUCAACAGCUCUGGGGUCUGCAUGUUCCUGCAUUAGCCCUACUCCAACAACGAGGCUGAAGUCACCUGGACUGUUCCUGUGAUAUCUUCUAGUACAUGAACAGGAAUGAAACCUACUAUGUCCUCCACGUGAACUAUAUACUGAGCGUGGGUGCAGAUGGGAAACCAUUCUCCUAUCCUGCAGAAAUGGAAUAUACUUUCGAGGAUGUUGGUGUAUCUGUACCACCUGACCCAAUCCUGCCUACACUUGGACCCUGAUGGGCAUUGUAGUGGCCAGUACUAUCCAGAGGAGAGAGGAGGAGGUAAGAGCAGGCUCCUAGCCACGUAUCCAGUAGCAACACUGAGACGUUUCGCCCCAAAGGUCCUGCCCACAAAGUCCUCUGCACUUUCUCCCUCUGUCCCUCCAAACAAAGUCAACCUUCUGAAAGCUGCCUCAAGUCCUGACCAGAUGGCACCCUCCUGCAGAAGUCCUGAACAGCACUCUGCACAUCAUGCCUACGUCUCAGCCUGA